GGGGAUGUAGCUUAGUGGGAAAGCAUUUGCCUGGCAUGUACAAGGCUGACUUCAAUCCUCAGUACCCCCG
This 70-nucleotide transfer RNA is filed under the name Fukomys damarensis (Damara mole-rat). It matches the Rfam family "tRNA". Rfam says of the family: Transfer RNA (tRNA) molecules are approximately 80 nucleotides in length. Their secondary structure includes four short double-helical elements and three loops (D, anti-codon, and T loops). The record is from Rfam by way of RNAcentral. Lineage: Eukaryota; Metazoa; Chordata; Mammalia; Rodentia; Bathyergidae.